CAGCUCAAAUUUGAAAUCUGGCCUUUACGGNUCCGAGUUGUAAUUUGUAGAGGAUGUUUCGGGCANCGCUCCGGUUUAAANNUCUUGGAACAGAAUGUCAAAGAGGGUGAGAGUCCCGUCUUGAACCGGUUGUAGGGUCCAUGUGAAACUCCUUCGACGAGUCGAGUUGUUUGGGAAUGCAGCUCAAAAUGGGUGGUAAAUUUCAUCUAAAGCUAAAUAUUGGCCAGAGACCGAUAGCGCACAAGUAGAGUGAUCGAAAGAUGAAAAGCACUUUGAAAAGAGAGUUAAACAGUAUGUGAAAUUGUUGAAAGGGAAGCGCUUGCAACCAGACUUGAGCUCGACGGUUCCCCCUUCGUUUUCGUUGGGUUAUUCCGUCUUGUCCAGGCCAACAUCGGUUCGGGUGGUUGGUUAAAGGCCCUGGGAAUGUAUCUACCCUCCGGGGAAGACUUAUAGCCCGAGGCGUCAUGCAGCCUACCUGGACCGAGGAACGCGCUUCGGCUCGGAUGUUGGCGUAA
Molecule: ribosomal RNA, 515 nt
Filed under: uncultured fungus
Lineage: Eukaryota; Fungi
Description: eukaryotic LSU rRNA
Rfam family: Eukaryotic large subunit ribosomal RNA
Source: RNAcentral